Molecule: ribosomal RNA, 425 nt
Filed under: uncultured bacterium
Lineage: Bacteria
Description: partial 16S ribosomal RNA
Rfam family: Bacterial small subunit ribosomal RNA
Source: RNAcentral
GUGGGGAAUCUUGCGCAAUGGGCGAAAGCCUGACGCAGCCAUGCCGCGUGAAUGAUGAAGGUCUUAGGAUUGUAAAAUUCUUUCACCGGGGACGAUAAUGACGGUACCCGGAGAAGAAGCCCCGGCUAACUUCGUGCCAGCAGCCGCGGUAAUACGAAGGGGGCUAGCGUUGCUCGGAAUUACUGGGCGUAAAGGGCGCGUAGGCGGACAGUUUAGUCAGAGGUGAAAGCCCAGGGCUCAACCUUGGAAUUGCCUUUGAUACUGGAUGUCUUGAGUACGGGAGAGGUGAGUGGAACUCCGAGUGUAGAGGUGAAAUUCGUAGAUAUUCGGAAGAACACCAGUGGCGAAGGCGACUCACUGGCCCGUUACUGACGCUGAGGCGCGAAAGCGUGGGGAGCAAACAGGAUUAGAAACCCCAGUAGUCC